GUGCUCGCUUCGGCAGCACAUAUACUAAAAUUGGAACGAGAAACGAAUACAGAGAAGAUUAGCAUGCCCCUGCAACAAGGAUGACACGCCAAAUUCGUGAAAGCGUUCAUAUUAAA
RNAcentral lists this small nuclear RNA (116 nucleotides) under Rhinopithecus bieti (black snub-nosed monkey). Lineage: Eukaryota; Metazoa; Chordata; Mammalia; Primates; Cercopithecidae. The record is from RNAcentral.